CAAAAUGUUGGUGAAUCUCAAUCUACCGCAACAAAGGUUCAGUUAGCAGCCUGAAGUAGGGUCUCGACCUGAAACGUCACCCAUUCCUUCUCUCCAGAGAUGCUGCCUGUCCCGCUGAGUUACUCCAGCUUUUCGUGU
This is a long non-coding RNA of Amblyraja radiata (thorny skate), 138 nucleotides long. RefSeq lists it as uncharacterized. Lineage: Eukaryota; Metazoa; Chordata; Chondrichthyes; Rajiformes; Rajidae. The record is from RefSeq and is a predicted model, not a curated record. The transcript is spliced from 3 exons.